GGGACUCAUGCCAAAUCCAAAAGCCGGUACUGUUUCGACUAAUAUACCUCAGGUAUAUUUUGCUUCUUCUGCUUUUACUCUUUGUUUUUCCCUUGCAUUGGAUAUAUUGUUUUGAUUCUCAACUCGAAUUGUUAUUCAACAACACACAUUAAGUAUUUUGAGAUGCACACGAGCAUGUCAGUUUGCAUUUGCGGCAUCAAGUCAUUUAAGUCAUAAUGGAAUCAGAGAGAAACAAUAAUAAUGGAUUUC
This 249-nucleotide unclassified non-coding RNA is filed under the name Hevea brasiliensis (rubber tree). The record is from RNAcentral. Lineage: Eukaryota; Viridiplantae; Streptophyta; Magnoliopsida; Malpighiales; Euphorbiaceae.